AGCAGGGGGAGGACAUGAAUAAUGGGAGAGAGACCAGGUUUGGACACAAAUUGCUAGGGAACAUUUUGGACAGGAAAAUGACUUGAAAGAAGGAAGAAGAUGGAACUCUUCCAAGCCAUUCAUUUGAUGGGCCUCCAUCUCCAGCUGUCCUCAUGAGAGACAUCUCCAAACACCUGCACUGGAUGUGUGGCUGUUCGGAAAUGGAGAAGACUUCCAUUCCUGGACUUGGCAGAUGUUGUUCCAUGCCAACUGUUGACAUCUUUAGGGGGACUUUUGCCAGCGGACGUUUUAACAGAAGACAACGAUCAAUCAUUAAUCUUUAUUACAGUCUGAGACCAGCACAAGGCAAAAGGAA
Molecule: long non-coding RNA, 355 nt
Organism: Hemicordylus capensis (graceful crag lizard)
Lineage: Eukaryota; Metazoa; Chordata; Lepidosauria; Squamata; Cordylidae
Exons: 3
Source: RefSeq, a predicted model, not a curated record